UACGUAGGGACCGAGCGUUGUCCGGAUUCAUUGGGCGUAAAGAGCUCGUAGGCGGUUUGUCGCGUCUGCUGUGAAAUCCCGAGGCUCAACCUCGGGCCUGCAGUGGGUACGGGCAGACUGGAGUGCGGUAGGGGAGAAUGGAAUUCCUGGUGUAGCGGUGGAAUGCGCAGAUAUCAGGAGGAACACCGAUGGCGAAGGCAGUUCUCUGGGCCGUAACUGACGCUGAGGAGCGAAAGCGUGGGGAGCGAACAGG
RNAcentral lists this ribosomal RNA (253 nucleotides) under uncultured bacterium. RNAcentral's name for it is "partial 16S ribosomal RNA". It matches the Rfam family "Bacterial small subunit ribosomal RNA", at positions 524 to 776 of the family's 1533-position model. The record is from RNAcentral.